RNAcentral lists this transfer RNA (66 nucleotides) under Arctotanais alascensis. Its description in RNAcentral is "tRNA-Thr". Lineage: Eukaryota; Metazoa; Arthropoda; Malacostraca; Tanaidacea; Tanaididae. The record is from RNAcentral.
UUUUUUAUAGUUUAUUAAAAACAUAGAUUUUGUAAAUCUAAGAAGUAUUUUACUAGAUUAAAAGAA